Caenorhabditis elegans is the source of this 99-nucleotide non-coding RNA. The record is from Ensembl. NCBI's taxonomy places the organism in Eukaryota, Metazoa, Nematoda, Chromadorea, Rhabditida, Rhabditidae.
ACCAUAUUGGAAAUUCCCCAGUAGUAUCGGAAUUGAUCACUGACAAAGCAACCACUAGUUCCGCAAUUUGGCAUUCUAAUUGGCGGGGACAGCGCAAAC